This 406-nucleotide ribosomal RNA is filed under the name uncultured bacterium. Its description in RNAcentral is "partial 16S ribosomal RNA". It matches the Rfam family "Bacterial small subunit ribosomal RNA", at positions 30 to 526 of the family's 1533-position model. The record is from RNAcentral.
AUUGAACGCUGGCGGCAGGCCUAACACAUGCAAGUCGAACGAGUGGCGGACGGGUGAGUAAUGUCUGGGAAACUGCCUGAUGGAGGGGGAUAACGACUGGAAACGGGCGCUAAUACCGCAUACCAUCAGAUGUGCCCAGGUGGGAUUAGCUAGUUGGUGGGGUAACGGCUUACCAAGGCGACGAUCCGUAGCUGGUCUGAGAGGAUGACCAGCCACACUGGAACUGAGACACGGUCCAGACUCCUACGGGAGGCAGCAUUGGGGAAUAUUGGACAAUGGGCGCAAGCCUGAUCCAGCCAUGCCGCGUGUAUGAAGAAGGCCUUCGGGUUGUAAAGUACUUUAAGUGGGGAGGCGUUACCCGCAGAAGAAGCACCGGCUAACUCCGUGCCAGCCGCCGCGGUAAUUC